Molecule: ribosomal RNA, 254 nt
Filed under: uncultured bacterium
Lineage: Bacteria
Description: partial 16S ribosomal RNA
Rfam family: Bacterial small subunit ribosomal RNA
Source: RNAcentral
UACGGAGGGGGCUAGCGUUGUUCGGAAUUACUGGGCGUAAAGCGCACGUAGGCGGCUUUGCAAGUCAGAGGUGAAAGCCCGGGGCUCAACCCCCGGAAUUGCCUUUGAGACUGCAUCGCUAGAAUUGUGGAGAGGUAAGUGGAAUUCCGAGUGUAGAGGUGAAAUUCGUAGAUAUUCGGAAGAACACCAGUGGCGAAGGCGACUUACUGGACACAUAUUGACGCUGAGGUGCGAAAGCGUGGGGAGCAAACAGG